RNAcentral lists this ribosomal RNA (442 nucleotides) under uncultured bacterium. Its description in RNAcentral is "partial 16S ribosomal RNA". It matches the Rfam family "Bacterial small subunit ribosomal RNA", at positions 338 to 795 of the family's 1533-position model. The record is from RNAcentral.
CCUACGGGGGGCAGCAGUAGGGAAUCUUUCACAAUGGGCGAAAGCCUGAUGGAGCAACGCCGCGUGCAGGAUGAAGGCCUUCGGGUUGUAAACUGCUUUUAUAAGCGAGAAAUAUGAUGGUAACUUAUGAAUAAGGAUCGGCUAACUACGUGCCAGCAGCCGCGGUCAUACGUAGGAUCCGAGCAUUAUCCGGAGUGACUGGGUGUAAAGAGUUGCGUAGGUGGCAUAAUAAGUAGCUAGUGAAAUCUGGUGGCUCAACCAUUCAGACUAUUAGCUAAACUGUUAAGCUCGAGACCGUUAGGGGUAACUGGAAUUUCGAGUGUAGGAGUGAAAUGCGUAGAUAUUAGGAGGAACACCAAUAGCGUAGGCAGGUUACUGGGACGGUUCUGACACUAAGGCACGAAAGCGUAGGGAGCAAACGGGAUUAGAUACCCGAGUAGUC